Molecule: ribosomal RNA, 468 nt
Filed under: uncultured bacterium
Lineage: Bacteria
Description: partial 16S ribosomal RNA
Rfam family: Bacterial small subunit ribosomal RNA
Source: RNAcentral
GACGAACGCUGGCGGUGUGCUUAACACAUGCAAGUCGAACGGUAAGGCCCUUUCGGGGGUACACGAGUGGCGAACGGGUGAGUAACACGUGAGUAACCUGCCCUCAUCUCUGGGAUAACAGUCGGAAACGGUUGCUAAUACUGGAUAUGAGCUUGCAAGGCAUCUUGUGGGUUGGAAAGAUUUUUUUUGGUUGGGGAUGGACUCGCGGCCUAUCAGCUUGUUGGUGAGGUAGUGGCUCACCAAGGCUUCGACGGGUAGCCGGCCUGAGAGGGCGACCGGCCACAUUGGGACUGAGAUACGGCCCAAACUCCUACGGGAGGCAGCAGUGGGGAAUAUUGCACAAUGGACGGAAGUCUGAUGCAGCAACGCCGCGUGCGGGAUGACGGCCUUCGGGUUGUAAACCGCUUUCAAUUGUGACGAAGCUUUUUUGUGACGGUAGCAGUAGAAGAAGCACCGGCUAACUACGCG